RNAcentral lists this long non-coding RNA (244 nucleotides) under Elaeis guineensis (African oil palm). RNAcentral describes it as "long non-coding RNA (EGUI_LNC022777)". The record is from RNAcentral. Lineage: Eukaryota; Viridiplantae; Streptophyta; Magnoliopsida; Arecales; Arecaceae.
GAGGUAUAAUAGAUUUUUCUUAUUCUAGUAGAUCUUUAAAGAGUUGUCCCUUAAUUCACUUAUGGCGGUGGUUGGAUAGUUGUCUCUUCAACAAUAGCAAUAUCAUAGGGUGGAUCUUGAUAAAGUAGUGGUUCCUCCUAAAAGUUAUCUUGAGAAAUAUGAACAGAAAUUAUUACCUCCAUUUGCUUCUCAGAUAUAGAGAUUGUUUUCUUUAUUUUCUUAAAGAUGAUGUCUCAAAGUUCUC